ACCUGUGUGGUGUAGUGGUUAUCACAUCUGUCUAACACACAGAAGGUCGGCGGUUCGAUCCCGCCCUAGAUC
RNAcentral lists this transfer RNA (72 nucleotides) under Caenorhabditis remanei. RNAcentral's name for it is "tRNA-Val". The stretch from base 7 to 66 matches the Rfam family "tRNA", at positions 7 to 64 of the family's 71-position model. From Rfam's summary of the family: Transfer RNA (tRNA) molecules are approximately 80 nucleotides in length. Their secondary structure includes four short double-helical elements and three loops (D, anti-codon, and T loops). Further hydrogen bonds mediate the characteristic L-shaped molecular structure. tRNAs have two regions of fundamental functional importance: the anti-codon, which is responsible for specific mRNA codon recognition, and the 3' end, to which the tRNAs corresponding amino acid is attached (by aminoacyl-tRNA synthetases). tRNAs cope with the degeneracy of the genetic code in two manners: having more than one tRNA (with a specific anti-codon) for a particular amino acid; and 'wobble' base-pairing, i.e. permitting non-standard base-pairing at the 3rd anti-codon position. Lineage: Eukaryota; Metazoa; Nematoda; Chromadorea; Rhabditida; Rhabditidae. The record is from RNAcentral.